GGAGAGGUGGCUGAGCGGUUGAAAGCGGCGGUCUCGAAAACCGCUAAGCCUCGUUCGGGGCUUCGUGGGUUCGAAUCCCACCCUCUCCGCCA
This 92-nucleotide transfer RNA is filed under the name bacterium. RNAcentral describes it as "tRNA-Ser". It matches the Rfam family "tRNA". Rfam says of the family: Transfer RNA (tRNA) molecules are approximately 80 nucleotides in length. Their secondary structure includes four short double-helical elements and three loops (D, anti-codon, and T loops). The record is from RNAcentral. RNAcentral also lists the same sequence under 3 other names.